GAUGAACGCUGGCGGCGUGCCUAAUACAUGCAAGUCGAGCGAACAGAUGAGAAGCUUGCUUCUCUGAUGUUAGCGGCGGACGGGUGAGUAACACGUGGGUAACCUACCUAUAAGACUGGGAUAACUCCGGGAAACCGGGGCUAAUACCGGAUAAUAUUUUGAACCGCAUGGUUCAAUAGUGAAAGACGGUUUCGGCUGUCACUUAUAGAUGGAUCCGCAGCGUAUUAGCUAGUUGGUAAGGUAACGGCUUACCAAGGCGACGGUACGUAGCCGACCUGAGAGGGUGAUCGGCCACACUGGAACUGAGACACGGUCCAGACUCCUACGGGAGGCAGCAGUAGGGAAUCUUCCGCAAUGGGCGAAAGCCUGACGGAGCAACGCCGCGUGAGUGAUGAAGGUCUUCGGAUCGUAAAACUCUGUUGUUAGGGAAGAACAAAUUUGUUAGUAACUGAACAAGUCUUGACGGUACCUAACCAGAAAGCCACGGCUAACUCCGUGCCAGCAGCCGCCGUAA
RNAcentral lists this ribosomal RNA (514 nucleotides) under uncultured bacterium. Its description in RNAcentral is "partial 16S ribosomal RNA". It matches the Rfam family "Bacterial small subunit ribosomal RNA", at positions 28 to 523 of the family's 1533-position model. The record is from RNAcentral.